CCCCUCUCAGGGUCACACCUGAGGUGUUUCCAGUACUCUACCAGUCUCGACUACGGGAGGGAGAGUCAAGCAGAGACCUAUUCAUUCCAUUCCUGGCUUGGGCAGUGGCUAGCGAGUGGAAGGCAAUCUGCUACAAGU
This is a small nucleolar RNA of Ornithorhynchus anatinus (platypus), 138 nucleotides long. The record is from RefSeq and is a predicted model, not a curated record. NCBI's taxonomy places the organism in Eukaryota, Metazoa, Chordata, Mammalia, Monotremata, Ornithorhynchidae.